RNAcentral lists this unclassified non-coding RNA (261 nucleotides) under plant metagenome. RNAcentral describes it as "partial contains small subunit ribosomal RNA, internal transcribed spacer 1, and 5.8S ribosomal RNA". The stretch from base 1 to 54 matches the Rfam family "Eukaryotic small subunit ribosomal RNA", at positions 1778 to 1831 of the family's 1831-position model. The record is from RNAcentral.
GGAAGUAAAAGUCGUAGCAAGGUUUCCGUAGGUGAACCUGCGGAAGGAUCAUUACCGAGUGAGGGUCUCUCAGGCCCGACCUCCCACCCUGUGUUUUUGUGACCUUGUUGCUUUGGCGGGCCCGCCUCGAUGAGAGGCCGCCGGAAGCUCACCGCUUUGGGCCCGUGCCCGCCAGUAGCCCCCUUAAAUUCUUAAUAAACCUGUCGUCUGAGUUAAUGGAUAUAAUGAAAAAAACUUUCAACAACGGAUCUCUUGGUUCUG